Long non-coding RNA from Megalobrama amblycephala (Wuchang bream), 3281 nucleotides. RefSeq lists it as uncharacterized. The transcript has 2 exons. The record is from RefSeq and is a predicted model, not a curated record. Lineage: Eukaryota; Metazoa; Chordata; Actinopteri; Cypriniformes; Xenocyprididae.
UGCGCAUUCAUCACUUAAUUAAUCGCUUAAUUAUACCAUUAACUUUAACUCUGCUUCAGUGUUACUUUAACACUAUUUAGAGAGGGACCAUAUGUACUCCGAUCAGAGUUGUUUUAACUCUGGUGAUUUUGCUGUGUAGUGUAUUAAAAUACAAAGGAGAAGUUCUCUGUCAUUGUUUACUCACCAUCAUGUUUGUGUCCAUGAUGCCAUGUAUGGCAUGCUUUGUGCAGAACUGGAGAAGCUGGACAAGUUUAUCAGUAAAUAAUGAUUUAAAUUUUAAGUCUUUCCCUCACUCAACUAUAUUAUAUGACCAGAAAACUUCAUACGGAAUCGUUGAUACUUUUAUGUCCUUUUUGAAGCUUGAAAGCUUAAUUCCCUAUGGAAAUUAAUUGCAUGGACAAGAGCGGCCAGUACAAAUCUGUUUUUUGUGAUCCACCGAAGAAAUAAGUAAUACAGAUUUGAAAAGAUAAAUUAUGACAUCAUUUUGAUUUAUGAAUGAACUAUUCCUUUAAUUUUAAGGGUUAGAGAGAGGGCAGCAAAUGGUCAUGCAAAGCUAAAUUACAGCUACGUUUGAUGCAAGAAACCUUGUCUAACAUAAUUAAAUGCUACAAAAGCGAUUGAGAGGAGACUAGCUGCACUUUGCUCAGCCCCUUCAAAAUUAUCCUGUUGCUUAUCUUGGAUUUGGUGGUUUAGUUUUCUUCGGUAUUGCUUAGUGAUCCAGUGCUUGCCCAUUUUAUGGGAUAGUAUGUGUUAAUCUUUUCUGUUCUUAAAAGAGCAUUUGAUAUGUUUGCUGAGUUGUUUGUUCCUCUUAGAGAUGUCAACAGAAUGUGUUUCUCUUUAUUUCAGAGCUGAUGAUUCAGCCCCAGCUCAAUUCCAUUCUCAUUCCACCUCAUGCCUGUGCACAAACCGUAGCAUCCUCCAACGAUGGCUCUGAAGGUCCUGUACAGCCUGGAUCUACUCUCACCAACAGCACCUGAGGCCGUGACUCAAAAAAAAACAAGCUCACACACCACAGCAUCUGAGCCACCACAGCGCACAUCCCUCCCUCUGACAAACACAUACACAGUCUUACACCCUCUUUACCUCAUACACGGCUCCUCCUCCCUAUAGCUCUAAUUCACACAUUUACAGACUGAUUCAGGUGUCACGCGUUUCAGAAUUACCAGCGACUGCACGGCGGUCUGGAAAGCCUGAUGUUUGCUGACUGUCUACCGAGAAACAUACUGUACACACACACACACACCGACACUCUGCCAUGUACAUGAAACAAACAACAACAAACAGAGUUACACCGCUAAUAUUUGCUUCAGAUAAUAGAGGUAGUCAAUAUCGAGAGUGCUCCGAACGGCUGCAUAGGCCCGUAGCAAAGCUCACGCGCAUCCAUAACGCAACACCGCACGUGCUUUGGAGGUCAAAUGCGAUUGGUUCAGUGGCUAGGGGCAGGUCCUCUGUCUAAUUUUUAUCUUAAUUUAUUUAAAUCGACAUUUACAGUGGAUGUUUUACCUUGAUUUGUUUAGCUAACGCUCACUCAUCCCUCUCAGUCUCCCUAUCUUAGGUAUAAUACAUUUCGCAGGGAACGAGCAGUCACGGUAAAUGAUGUAUCUUGUUGUAAAUGAAAAUGGGCGGGACUAAAUGUCGUGGUUUUAUACAGUUAUUUUAAUAUCUUACUUUUAACUUCCAGUAAAUAUAUUUGUUGUUUUCACAUGGCGAAUCGGAUGGACUAGUCUUUUCCCCUGUGGAACAAAGGCACAGCGAAGAAGAGCUGGUUGGGAAAUUGUUAAAUGUUCUUGUUGACCAUAAAGAAGGGAAAGAAUGAUUUAAAGACGUAUGCAAGACAAUAGCAUAUUAAUAUUGUUGUACUGAAGUGACUUUAUGUUCCUGGGCAUUAUCAUUAACUUUUAAUGAUGCUCCAGGUCUAGGCUUAAUUUAUUCUUGUGAGAUUACAGAUUCUUCAUCCGUUCAAAGUCAUUUUCGAAUGACGUCAGGUCUGUAGACUGAACCUUGCGUCGUAAUUGAGUGUUUCAGUACGUUUUCAAUCAACAUCAUUUUUCUGAUAAAUUAAGCUACUCUUAUUAAAGGCCUUUGUGGUAGAACAGUUCUAUAAAAUGUUUGUGAAAUCUCCACACGAGUUGAGAAUCGUAACGUCAAUGGUCUCAGUCAAUCGUAUCGAUCCGCAAACUGUCCAAAAUGACUGAAAUCUUUUCUUUUCUUGAGAACAGAUCUGUUAGCUUCUCAAUAAACCCUGUUCUGAGGCCCUCAAUGGCCUAUCUUCCACCUUUCUGUGAUGUUCAUGCUAUUCUCCUGUUCUGUUUCAUUUUUUUUUUAUGUUCAGUGGGUGUGUGUUGACCAGUUUUGCUCCACCCAUCUGUAUGUAAAUAUACUUUGUUUUUUAAGCUCUGUGCAGGAUGUAAAUAUCAACACUGUACCACUUUUGUGUUUUUGUUUGUCUUUCUCUCCCUUUAUCUCUCUUGGGCCGUCUUCUCUUAGAUUUGAAGAAGGCAGCGUUCAUUUUGUUUGUCAUUUACAGUAUUUAUUGCUUUGUAAUGUAAUGUUGGGGCUGAAAGUUUCACUUUUUUGUGAAAUGUUAACCCUUAUCAGAGUACUGUAUGUCAGUUCAUAAGCUCAGCACUUGAUUUGGGAGGGAAAUGGAGUCAAAUUUAAGCUUCAUGUCCAACAUGGUCAUCCUUUGUUCUCUACUUGGCAAUUUGAGCACAUUUUUGUAAAGGUGCACUGGAAUUAAUGCUCAUACGGUCUGUUUGUUCAUGAAAAGGACAGUCUCUGAAGUGAAUCAGCUGCUUGAAAUAUUGCAGCUCUUUGUGGCGGUUUUGCCAAUCUGGCUUGAAGCCUCAAAGACAGUGGAAUGUGUUUAUUCUUUAAUCUGACAUCUGUGAAUCAAGCCCACAGCAACAUGUAUGUGUGCUCUUAGAAAUGUGAAUUUUUUUUAUAUACAAAUGUGUAUUUGGCUUUGAAGUUUAUUUUCCUCCCCUUUAAGGCUUGUUAAAUGAAUUGAGACCAGCCUGCAAAGUCUCUUCCUCUUCAUUGCUCCUGUAAUCCUGCCCUCCCCCUCGUCUCUGCCUUAAGCCAAACAUUAGCCUGUUAUUACCCCCCCCCCCCCCUUUUUUUUUUUCUUUUGGGUUUUGUUUUAUGGGGGGGGGUAAUUGUUGGAACUUUCUGCCUCAAUGUUCUGGCCCAGGGGAAUUGUGUCCUGAGACAAAGAGAGACGAAUGGAGAGCUUGUCAGAAUAAAUUGAACUCAUUUAAUAAAGUGAGUUUUUAGAGACA